This 429-nucleotide ribosomal RNA is filed under the name Gemmatimonadota bacterium. RNAcentral's name for it is "Gemmatimonadetes bacterium partial 16S ribosomal RNA". It matches the Rfam family "Bacterial small subunit ribosomal RNA", at positions 355 to 776 of the family's 1533-position model. The record is from RNAcentral. Lineage: Bacteria; Pseudomonadati; Gemmatimonadota.
UAGGGAAUCUUCGGCAAUGGACGAAAGUCUGACCGAGCAACGCCGCGUGAGUGAAGAAGGUUUUCGGAUCGUAAAACUCUGUUGUUAGAGAAGAACAAGGACGUUAGUAACUGAACGUCCCCUGACGGUAUCUAACCAGAAAGCCACGGCUAACUACGUGCCAGCAGCCGCGGUAAUACGUAGGUGGCAAGCGUUGUCCGGAUUUAUUGGGCGUAAAGCGAGCGCAGGCGGUUUCUUAAGUCUGAUGUGAAAGCCCCCGGCUCAACCGGGGAGGGUCAUUGGAAACUGGGAGACGUGAGUGCAGAAGAGGAGGGUGGAAUUCCAUGUGUAGCGGUGAAAUGCGUAGAUAUAUGGAGGAACACCAGUGGCGAAGGCGGCUCUCUGGUCUGUAACUGACGCUGAGGCUCGAAAGCGUGGGGAGCAAACAGG